UUUGAAAUGAUAAUGGAACCAUGCCAAAAUACACUGCAUACCACGACUAAGAAAUGAAUCAAUGCAUUAGUGCAAGUCAAGACCUCAUACCUGCAAGAACAAGUCAGCCACAUUAUAAUGCACAAUACCUAGCUGCUAUGAAUCAACAGAAUCAUCCUACUGGACAAAUCAAGCACAAACCAUUAGGCAAUGGAAAUUGAAAACCAUGAUCCGCAAGUUUGCACACAAAACCAGCAUCAUUAAAC
RNAcentral lists this long non-coding RNA (245 nucleotides) under Lathyrus oleraceus (garden pea). RNAcentral's name for it is "Pisum sativum (pea) long non-coding RNA (PSAT_LNC001326)". The record is from RNAcentral. Lineage: Eukaryota; Viridiplantae; Streptophyta; Magnoliopsida; Fabales; Fabaceae.